RNAcentral lists this long non-coding RNA (465 nucleotides) under Gallus gallus (chicken). Lineage: Eukaryota; Metazoa; Chordata; Aves; Galliformes; Phasianidae. The record is from RNAcentral.
CAAGCAUACUCUUACAACCAACUCUUGCCCAACAAACCACUGGGAGGACACAGCCUUCUCAGGCUACGGACUCAAGGAGCGAGGUGGGAAGGGUCUGCAGAGGGAUUCUGGAGCACCCCCGGCCAGGGAAGAAAAAGGCACUUGGGUCUGUGAAGAAGUAUUUGGAACAAGGAAAUCCUGGAAUUGAAAGAGAAACUGAACAAUUGGGAAAGGCAAGAACCAGAUGGUUUACUACAACACUGGAUUUCCUAUAGAGAUAGCUAUCAACGAUGCACAAAGCUCCUAUGUUUCUUUGAUUAACAUACCGUAGGUGGAGGCCAAAGACGACGGAUAAUGGUAAGUUUCACUUUCUACAGUCAAAAGCCAUUUUAAUAGAAGAGUAACUGCCUUUCUUUUCAUGGAGUUCGGCAAAAAAAUGCUUUCUUUCUUGAAACUGACUGAACACUCACAUUGUUUAGAAGUCAG